AACUUUCAACAAUGGAUCUCUUGGCUCUGGCAUCGAUGAAGAACGCAGCGAAAUGCGAUAAGUAGUGUGAAUUGCAGAAUUCAGUGAAUCAUCGAAUCUUUGAACGCACAUUGCGCCCCUUGGUAUUCCAUGGGGCAUGCCUGUUCGAGCGUCAU
RNAcentral lists this ribosomal RNA (155 nucleotides) under Paraconiothyrium fuckelii. RNAcentral describes it as "5.8S ribosomal RNA". It matches the Rfam family "5.8S ribosomal RNA". From Rfam's summary of the family: 5.8S ribosomal RNA (5.8S rRNA) is a component of the large subunit of the eukaryotic ribosome. It is transcribed by RNA polymerase I as part of the 45S precursor that also contains 18S and 28S rRNA. RNAcentral also lists the same sequence under 11 other names. Lineage: Eukaryota; Fungi; Ascomycota; Dothideomycetes; Pleosporales; Didymosphaeriaceae. The record is from RNAcentral.